Molecule: unclassified non-coding RNA, 339 nt
Filed under: soil metagenome
Description: partial contains 5.8S ribosomal RNA, internal transcribed spacer 2, and large subunit ribosomal RNA
Rfam family: 5.8S ribosomal RNA (bases 1-120)
Source: RNAcentral
GAUGAAGAACGCAGCGAAAUGCGAUAAGUAGUGUGAAUUGCAGAAUUCAGUGAAUCAUCGAAUCUUUGAACGCACAUUGCGCCCCUCGGUAUUCCGUGGGGCAUGCCUGUUCGAGCGUCAUUUAACCCCUCAAGCCUAGCUUGGUAUUGGGUGCUUGUCCCGCCUCUCGCGCGGCGACUCACCUCAAAGUCAUUGGCAGCCCGCAUCUCGCCAGCCGUGAGCGCAGCACAGACGCGCUCUUGGCAACGACGGAUCGGCUCUCCAAAAGCUUAUUUCAACCACUGACCUCGGAUCAGGUAGGGAUACCCGCUGAACUUAAGCAUAUCAAUAAGCGGAGGA